CCUACGGGAGGCAGCAGUGAGGAAUAUUGGUCAAUGGACGAGAGUCUGAACCAGCCAAGUAGCGUGAAGGAUGACUGCCCUAUGGGUUGUAAACUUCUUUUAUAUGGGAAUAAAAUGUUCAACGAGAGGGAUUUUGUAUGUACCAUAUGAAUAAGGAUCGGCUAACUCCGUGCAAGCAGAGGCGGUAAUACGGAGGAUCCGAGCGGUAUCCGGAUUUAUUGGGUUUAAAGGGAGCGUAGGUGGAUUGUUAAGUCAGUUGUGAAAGUUUGCGGCUCAACCGUAAAAUUGCAGUUGAAACUGGCAGUCUUGAGUACAGUAGAGGUGGGCGGAAUUCGUGGUGUAGCGGUGAAAUGCUUAGAUAUCACGAAGAACUCCGAUUGCGAAGGCAGUUCACUGGACUGCAACUGACACUGAGGCUCGAAAGUGUGGGUAUCAAACAGGAUUAGAUACCCUUGUAGUC
This 460-nucleotide ribosomal RNA is filed under the name uncultured bacterium. RNAcentral describes it as "partial 16S ribosomal RNA". It matches the Rfam family "Bacterial small subunit ribosomal RNA", at positions 338 to 795 of the family's 1533-position model. The record is from RNAcentral.